GUCUGAUGUGAAAGCCCCGGGCUCAACCUGGGAAGUGCAUUGGAAACUGGGAGACUUGAAUACGGGAGAGGGUAGUGGAAUUCCUAGUGUAGGAGUGAAAUCCGUAGAUAUUAGGAGGAACACCGGUGGCGAAGGCGGCUACCUGGACCGAUAUUGACGCUGAGACGCGAAAGCGUGGGGAGCAAACAGGAUUAGAUACCCUGGUAGUCCACGCCGUAAACGAUG
RNAcentral lists this ribosomal RNA (225 nucleotides) under uncultured bacterium. RNAcentral describes it as "partial 16S ribosomal RNA". It matches the Rfam family "Bacterial small subunit ribosomal RNA", at positions 587 to 811 of the family's 1533-position model. The record is from RNAcentral.